AUCUUACUACACAUCUUAAGUAUAUACAAUUUUUCUUUGUCAAUCAUACCGCAAUAAAGCCGAGGGAGAAAAGAUUCAAUUUGUGAGCAAUUACGGGACCAUUCUAAUUUUCUGAAAAGAAAAACAGUAUCUCAUGGGGUUGUUUCUUAUCACUAGAUUCCAGGAUAUGUGUACAGCACUUAGAGCCUACAAGUAGGAAAUACGAUGUCAAUGUUAGCCUUUAUUGGUUUUUUUUAUUUUUUUAUUUUUUUUUUCCUCUCUCAAAUCAUGGGAGCCUUUGUUAUUAUUUUUGCCCUUGGGGAGCCCAUGGUCUGGUAGGGCCCAACCACAUUGUAGGGGCUGUUGGGUUGUUUGCGUUUGUCCUGCCCCUCACUUCCUCCUGGUUUUAUUUCCUUUGGGGACACCACUCUCCCACUCUAAACCCCCAAGGUUUGGGUGGCUGACUCCGCCCCCUGGCAGGCCUACCCAAUCAGUGUAUUCUACCCACCAGGCUGCUGUGAUUGGGUCAGUGCAGGCCACCUGACCCAAGUUGGUCCAAUGAGACUCCGUGUAAGUCCAUUUGGGCCACCACACCCACCCGGGCCUGCAAGGGGAGGAAGCUGACUUAAGAAGGAACUCAACGCAGAGGAAAGCAAAAUGGAGACAUGGAGGGAGACGCCAAGUUCCAGUGACAUUAAGCCCCUGAAUCCCACCAUGGCUGAACUUGCAUUACUGAAGCCCUCCUGAGUUGAAUUUCUGCCUCUUGCAAAUGAAAGAGGCCUGAUGAAUACCCACAUAGUUCAAUUUCAAUAUACGAAGUUCUUCAGACGACGGUCCCUGAGUUACUGAAGCCACUUCACCUGUUUGGGCAGACAGCUGGGAGUGCCCAGAGCUGACACCCUCCAGGUGACCCACAGGUAACGGCUGACCCACGCUGGAGUGUAGGAGCCUUGCUUCAAGACCACACAGACUUUGAGGUUGGCUGAUUGUGGAGGCUAAAGCAACUCUACCUUGCCAGCUUAUCCACCAUGUGGACUUCUAAUUAAUCUCAGUUGCCGGAAUGCCUCUAAGAUUUCUACGUUAUCUACUGUGAAGAGCAAGUAAUUACUGCAAAUCCUGCCCUUGGGUCAAAACAACCUUGAUGACAUAUUCCUUCUGAAGCACAUAUACUCUUUCCCUAGCUGCCUGCCCUGCAGACUUCAGGCUCCAGCAUCAGACACAGAGACCCAGCGUUAUGGAGACUGUCUAACCAGAUCUCACAAUUGUGGAAGAUCCCAACUCCUACAGAAAUCUCUUAAAAACCACGUGUGGCUGGGCACAGUGGCUCAUGUAUGUAAUUCCAGCACUUUGGGAGGCUGA
RNAcentral lists this long non-coding RNA (1338 nucleotides) under Homo sapiens (human). RNAcentral describes it as "HSALNT0371049". Lineage: Eukaryota; Metazoa; Chordata; Mammalia; Primates; Hominidae. The record is from RNAcentral.